AACUGUGACACGUUCCCGCUCAGAUAAUGUGCCUGCAAUUCUCCUGGGUAGCCUGCCCCCUCUUUCACUAACUAUGCACCUCUCUACAUCCAUAGAGGCCUUCUGCCCCUUUUUCUGAGCACCUUGUUCCAGUGCAUCACCACCUUCAUAGAGAAGAAUUUUGUCCUAAUAUCCAAGAUAAACCUGCCCUCUUUAAGAUUGAAGCCAUCUCCCCUUGUCCUAUUACUAUAUGCCCUUGUAAAAAAAAAAUCCCUUUUUGGCUUUCUUGUAAGUCCCUUCAGGUACUGGCAGGCUGCUGGAGGGUCUCCCAGGUGCCUUUUCUCAAGGCUGAUGAGGCAGCUUAUUAGUUCUCAGGGCUUGAAGACCUCAUUGAGCCUCAGUUGCUCCUCCCAGCCCCACCUAUGUCUUGCUCACAGGUUUAGGAGUCCAAGCUUGCUGUUAGCUGUUCCCCCUGUUGGUGCCUCUGCUGCUCUGAUUUAUUAACUGCAUGGACUCCACACCAACACUUAAGUGAAAAUGGCAAUCAGGUAUUGCUGGACUGCCAAGACAGCCUGAGCAAAUUCUGGAAGAAAUGAACUUGUUUAAUUACAAUCAUCAAGAGCCUUCUUAUUUGCCUUUCAGUUCAGUUUGAGCUCCUGUGAAUUGAGCAGCACCUCCUCUACUGGUGAAAACUCACACAGCUACAAGGACUUCAAGCUAUAUCAAACUCUUCUGUAAAGUUACUGAGUUAAUUUUGUGAAUUCAGCAAAAACUGAGCUUCGCACGUUCUCAGACAGAAUAUUAAUGCUUCAGCUGUCAUGAAUGGUGUUUUUGCUACUUGCAAGAAGCAUCCUGAGUUUUAACACAGUUGCAUUUCUCUGCUUCUUUAUCAUGGAACAAAACCUGCAAUGGUGGAUCAACAACAGCUUCAUGUACUUGGCUUAGGCAAGCAUCCAGUACAGUGAAUGAGCGAAGUCUGAGUUGUAGCACCUGCAGACUGAGAAAUAUUCUUUUUUUGAGAUAAUUAUAAAUUGUGAAAGAUCACAAUGAUGACAUUCAGAUGACACUUCAGCAUCCAGAAAAGGCAGAUGAAAGGAAAUCCAAAAUGAGCACUACUUUUGUUAAGUAAUAAGGAUUCUAAUAAAGAGCAGAGAAUUAAGAAUAUGCUAAAGCAGGACCUUUUUGGAGUUCUCUAGAAUAGAAAAAAAAGGACAAAGUAGGCCUAGCAGCCUCUGUAAACUGUAGUCAUUAAUGUCUUAACAGGUCUCAAAAUCUGUAAGAUUUGUCCUGGCACGAGCAUCUGUGCAAAUGAGAACCCCUGAUUCAAAGACAUCAUCCUUCAGCUUCUCUAGGCUUUCUUAGGAUUUUCUAGUAACUGGCUAGGUUUUGGAUUCUUCAGCUGAAAAGCCCUUGCAAGAAUGAGCCAGUCCUUCUUGCUCAGUCCUGUAUGGUUUAUAUUAGGUUACAUUAAAAACUAAGAGCGUGACCAAGAGGAAAAAACACUGAAACCUGUAAUAAGUUUGUUUUAACUGCUGUUCUUCUGCUGUAUUUAACUUUUAGAAGAUUUACUGAUAUACAGGUAAUCUAGCCAUUGUUGUUUUAGAUAUUCCAAUGCACUUGUCAGUUUAAAGAAUUGGAAUUUUUGAGUAUGACUUUGGCUGUUAUCCGUGUGGGCGAAAAGAAGCCAUGCUUACGCAGAAAUAUUUGUUUGAAGUAACAGACUAAAAAUGCACCUGCAAAUCAAUGCUUCGUUCAGUAUAAACAGAAAAACAUAAAGAUUUAUGUUUGCAAAACUGAAAGCAUUCAGACAGCUCCAGCAACAGAAUUAAGUUGUAGUCUUCCUUCAAAAGCUAGACAUGGUUUCUUGUUUUGGAACUAAAAACAAUAAAAAGUGGGCAAAGCAGCAAAGUCAGUUACUUGUUGAAUAUUUUUCAAGAAGAAAGGGGUGAGCUCAUGUGGCAUUUCCAAUGUCUGUAUUAGUUACUGGAAAUAUGAAAUUGAAAAAUCAGGCAGGGUAAAGCCGUCUUUUCGUCAGGACCAAAAGGGAAAGUACUGAGAGACAGUAAACACUAAUUCUUGGAAGAGACUGUUUCUGGACAAAGAGCCAAACCAUAGGAAUUACUGGAAAGAGGUUGUUCUAGAGAAAGGGUUAUUUUAUUCCAAGACUUUUGUGUAAGAGUCUUUUAAAAUAAUAUGCUAAGGUCACACAUUUUUGUGUAAUGAAACCACCACAAUUUCUAUCAGAUAUAAACUUAGUAGGAGUAAUUUGGCAAGAAGUAAAUCUUAAUUGCAUUUUC
This is a long non-coding RNA of Passer domesticus (house sparrow), 2276 nucleotides long. RefSeq lists it as uncharacterized. The record is from RefSeq and is a predicted model, not a curated record. The transcript has 6 exons. NCBI's taxonomy places the organism in Eukaryota, Metazoa, Chordata, Aves, Passeriformes, Passeridae.